This 5732-nucleotide long non-coding RNA is filed under the name Salmo salar (Atlantic salmon). RNAcentral describes it as "lncRNA (ENSSSAG00000115696.1)". The record is from RNAcentral. Lineage: Eukaryota; Metazoa; Chordata; Actinopteri; Salmoniformes; Salmonidae.
UGUAGGAUCAAUACCUGUUAGAUAUCAGCUAGAGGAGACCUGCAGGAUCAAUACCUGUUAGGUGUCAGCUAGAGGAGACCUGUAGGAUCAAUACCUGUUAGAUAUCAGCUAGAGAUGAGAUGCAGGGUUUUGAAGUCUUGCAUGAUGUCUUCUUUGAGGCUAAUUAGCAUUUUUUUUUUUUUACUGAGUGUAAAUACAGGCUAAUAUAUUGAUAAAAGUCACCUUGUCCUAGAGAGAUUUACACGGUUAUCAAAACUUCACGCCAUGGUAAGCCUUCCCGAAACACAGACCUUAUUUAAAGUUUCUAAUUUCCUUGUUUGACCGCUAGGUUUUAUGGGUAUUAUGACACCUCCACUGUGGGGCUCUAUUAACAGAGGCUCAUUGGUCAAAACGUGUGUUUUUUAUGAAUAAACACUGAAAAUAAGGUCUGUGGUUUAGGAGUUCUGAUGCAUUAUUCUAUUGGAUCAUCUUGAUCAGCUAACGUCACUUUAUAUAAUCCAAACAAGCACAUAAAGGCUUCAUAAUUCAUAAAGGUCAUGUUUAACUGCCUCAUAGACCAACUCAGUGGCCUUGUGGUUACAGUGUCCUGAGAUUGGAAAGUUAUGAAUUCAAUCUCUGGUCGAGUCAAACCGAAGAAAAACCUGACAAGUCUCCGCUUGACAUUCAGCAUUAAGGAGAUAAGAUCGGGGUUAAGGCCCUGUGAUAGGCUAGCGUCCUGGGUACGGCCCUGUGAUGGGCUAGCGUCCUGGGUACGGCCCUGUGAUGGGCUAGCGUCCUGGGUACGGCCCUGUGAUGGGCAAGCGUCCUGGAUACGGCCCUGUGAUAGGCCGGCGUCCUGUCCAGGGGUACGGCCCUGUGAUAGGCUGGCGUCCUGUCCAGGGGUUAAGGCCCUGUGAUAGGCCAGCAUCCUGUCCAAGAGGUGGUACUUGUACAUCAAGCUGCCUCUCACUACAGAAACAGGAGGUAGACUCCUGCCCUAUGGGCCGUUCUCAUCAAGCUGCCUCUCACUACAGAAACAGGAGAUAGACUCCUGCCCUAUGGGCCGUUCUCAUCAAGCUGCCUCUCACUACAGAAACAGGAGAUAGACUCCUGCCCUAUGGGCCGUUCUCAUCACGCUGCCUCUCACUACAGAAACAGGAGAUAGACUCCUGCCCUAUGGGCCGUUCUCAUCAAGCUGCCUCUCACUACAGAAUCAGGAGAUAGACUCCUGCCCUAUGGGCCGUUCUCAUCAAGCUGCCUCUCACUACAGAAACAGGAGAUAGACUCCUGUCCUAUGGGCCGUUCUCAUCAAGCUGCCUCUCACUACAGAAACAGGAGGUAGACUCCUGCCCUAUGGGCCGUUCUCAUCAAGCUGCCUCUCACUACAGAAACAGGAGGUAGACUCCUGCCCUAUGGGCCGUUCUCAUCACGCUGCCUCUCACUACAGAAACAGGAGAUAGACUCCUGUCCUAUGGGCCGUUCUCAUCAAGCUGCCUCUCACUACAGAAACAGGAGAUGGACUCCUGCCCUAUGGGCCGUUCUCAUCACGCUGCCUGAUAUUAUCUCAUAGAACAAAACGUGUCAAAUCUCCGAAACCUGUUAGCCUCAGACCGCGUUAUCCAAAACACCUCCAAAAGCGGCAUUAAAUUUCCCCCCGUAGGCUUUGAGCAACGAGCCAUUGGGACUACAAGCUGGCGAGCCCUAUAGCUCUGUUCCAAAGUCCAAUUCAUUUAUUAGUCUCUCAAAUCCGUGUAUUUCUUUACACACCUAUGACCGCAUAUUGUGUGGAAGCUCAGGGGGGGGAAGCUAAAUUCCAGACCACGAUGUCUUUCUCGCUCUCUUGUAAUAAAUGUGAUCAAAUUGGCCAAUAGGAGACUUGUUGAAUGCCUUCCAGUCCUUGUGAUAACCUCUCUCUGUCUCUCUCUCUCUCUCUGUCUCUCUCUCUGUCUCUCUCUCUGUCUGUCUCUCUCUCUCUCUUCUCUCUCCUCUCUCUCUCUCUCUCUCAGCUCGGUCUAUCCCCCCCCCCCCCAGAGCAGCAGGGUAGACCAGUCAGGCAGGCAUGGCUUCGUGUUGUGAAUGAACAACUCAGGCACGUUCUCACAUUCCUCAAGGCAAACAGCACAGAGAUUGCUGAGAUUAUCAUAAUUGUCCUAUUUCGUGCAAUAGUUCCGUAUACGCUUACCUUUCAAAAGACUACAGGCACUGGGUAGCUGUAAGUAUAAGGGUUAUUACACCAUCAUUGGAUACAAGUGUCACUAAAUGAAGACCUGAAUCAAAUGUAGCCUACAGUAGUCGCUAAUUCCUACCUUUUUGUGAUGACGACCAACUGUGAUUUGAUGCGGGGUAAAAUGACAUGGUUGCUGCACAGCCAGCCCAGCCAAUCGGAAGGCUUAUCCUGAGCAAUAACCGCUGCAACCUGGUCUCAGAGCUUUUUGUAUUAUUCUGUACGUAAAUCUGGGGAAACUCAAUUUCCUGUGUUAUUUUAUGUAUUAAUUUGUGGAUGUCUAUCACCCAUUUCGUAUGAUAUGUUACGAAAUACGAUUUGUAUUAUAUGUUACGAAUUCUAGCUCGGCUAGGGGUUUUUGAGUUAGGCUAAAGAGUUAAGUGUUAGCUAACAUGCUAAAUGGUUGCAAAGUUUCAACAAAAAAAAAAGUAGUAAGUAGAUAAAAUGCUAAAGUUGUCUGUGAUGCGAUUCGAACUCACAACCUUUCGGUUACUAGACGUUGGCUUUAUACACCCACUCAUCCGACUUCCGUUUUUUUUUUUUACCUCAAGUAAACCAUCUGUCUUAUACAACCCUAUCAAACAUGCCAUACUAAUUUUACAGUCCCGGAUUUACGUUUACUAUGUAAUGACAGUGUAUGAGACCAGGCUGUAACAACCACAUCGAUGAGAGCCGACGUGCACUUAAUAAUACCGUGCGCGAUAUGUAGGCUACGCAAACAAAGGCAACACGCCAGAAACCUUGGGACUUUUCAAAACGUACCAAGUUACUUUCAUCGAGCUUCUGAAUUCUAUAAAUGAAUUCAGAGAACAGCCAACUGUUUCGAGAGAUAAACCAACAAGUAUCAGUGAACAGGCGCUCUUUGCUUUACCAAAAAUAAUCUGGCCAGCAUUCCGGAAACAAAUGGUGACUGUGUCCCCUACUAGAGCGUUCAAUCUGUCUUUAUUUGUGCUCGGAUUGUGAAAGUCUACCGUAAUAAUCGCCCUACCCAUGUGAACUCGGUAUAAUUGAUUUAAGUAACAAAUUGUCCCCAGUAGCUGCUGAAAGAAACACAGUUGUCUGUGGGGGAGGGGUGGCCCUGGACAAACCGAGCAUGUGAGUCGUGACAUGAUCUUUCUAUGUAGAGAAAGCGCCUAGAUAAAUACAAAAAAAAAACGAAAUGUAGCCAGUAGAUGAACUAACUACCUACUGCAACAGUCUCCCACUCCAAUACUGAGCAAACAAAUAAUAAUAAUGUAGAGAUACCGUGUGUGUUACAGUGUUGCAAGCUCACCAGUUGAACAAGAAAGUGUCUCAUUGGUAAAUCAAUGCUGAUUGUUGGCUUCGUUUUUUUACAUUAUUCUGUCGGUCCAAAAUAAUGACAUCAGUUUCAGAGGAAAAAGGCCGGAUCACCUUGACUGUUAACCUUGAACCCUGAUUCCUUCCAAAAAAAUCUAACUGUAUUGGGAUAAAACUACUAAUUACCGAGGUAAUGGAUGUCCCCCAUUGUCAUUUGGCACAUUAUUUUGUUCAGAGAAAUAAAGUAAUUGAUAUUUACCAACUCUUAUCAAUGUUUUCCAUUCUGGGCUGACAGCAGAAACAAGCAUGCCAUUAUGGCAAGACAAGCACAUGUUAGUUGCAAUCCAACACCAUAUCAUGUAAAUGAUGUCCUUCAAAAUGACCUCUUUGGCAAAGGACACCGAGUCUAGCUUUCGUUGUACGUGAUCGACCCGGGUUUAAACGAAUAAUAACGGAUAGGAACAUUAUUAACGUUCACUUGACCUAAAAGUCUGAAUAUAUUUCAACUGCCUUUUUUUUUUAUUUUUUUUUUUUUUUAGACAGAACUAAUUUUCAUGACAUUUAUUUUGAAUCGUAUUCCAUCAAUAGGUUAUACGGUUAUUUUACAGAAGAGUUUUUUAUAAAUCACGUUUAAUUGAUUUGUCAUGUUUCCAUUGAAGAGUGAAUGAUCUCUACACAGCACGCUAUGGUCAAUCAAACAGGUGCUGUAUCAGGAAAUACAGAACGACUCAGGAACUCUCUGUGCCGUUACAUUAUUCUGACAAUACACGGAAACAACAGGGCUACAACUCCUAUCGUUCUUAUCCUCCAGUUCAUUUCAAGAAAAAGCGUCGAUUAAAAGUAGUUUAUUACGGAUUUAUGUACUUACACCAACUGCCACCAGUGCGUCCUAGAAAUUCCUUCUUUUCCGAAUUCCACAGAAAGCUCUUCCAUCCACCGUCUCCAUCUUUAUUUGCCGACAUCUUUUUUUUUUGCCUUUUAAUUUCCCUUUUCAAUCAAUAUUAUCUAAUGGGUGUAGGUACCCGAUUCGUGUACUGUCCCCCGGUACAGAAUAGUAAAGGACAGUUUCGUACCCGGCUCUCCUAUUGUACACCACACAUUUAGUUCUUAUGGUAUCCGACUCCGCCCGCAAACUCUUGUAAUAAGUUACCUACAAAGAGGGGGGGGCUAACUCUGACCAAUCACAAGCGGUCAUCCUUCUGCGUAAGAAUCAAGGGGGCAACAGCUAUGAUCACUGCUCUAUGAAGGCAAGACUGCUCUAUGAAGGCAAGACUGCUCUAUGAAGGCAAGACUGCUCUAUGAAUGCAAGACUGCUCUAUGAAUGCAAGACUGCUCUAUGAAGGCAAGACUGCUCUAUGAAGGCAAGACUGCUCCACGAGGCAAGACUGCUCUAUGAAGGCAAGACUGCUCUAUGAAGGCAAGACUGCUCUAUGAAGACAAGACUGCUCUAUGAAGGCAAGACUGCUCUAUGAAGACAAGACUGCUCUAUGAAGGCAAGACUGCUCCACGAGGCAAGACUGCUCUAUGAAGGCAAGACUGCUCCACGAGGCAAGACUGCUCCAUGAGGCAAGACUACUCUAUGAAGGCAAGACUGCUCCACGAGGCAAGACUGCUCCACGAGGCAAGACUGCUCUAUGAAGGCAAGACUGCUCCAUGAAGGCAAGACUGCUCCAUGAAGGCAAGACUGCUCUAUGAAGGCAAGACUGCUCCAUGAAGGCAAGACUGCUCCACGAGGCAAGACUGCUCUAUGAAGGCAAGACUGCUCUAUGAAGGCAAGACUGCUCCAUGAGUCAAGACUGCUCUAUGAAGGCAAGACUGCUCCAUGAAAGCAAGACUGCUCCAUGAGUCAAGACUGCUCCAUGAGGGUUCAAAACGAAAUGGUGUCAACUCAAAUGGUAGAAUUAUUAAACCCGAAAUAGAAUUAAAACAAUUCUAUGUUGAUGUCAUAAACUCGGAAACAUUAUAUUACCAUUCUUGGAGUUCUAUUAUCACAUCGCAGGUUUAAAAAGUAAUUAUAUUUCUCAGGAGUCAACUUUGUACUUUAGUACAUUUGAUUAUAAUUGUUGCUAAAUAUCACAUCCAUAAAAUUAAUUGUUUAUUAAGGGGGGGGGAAAAACAUCUUAUUCAAUAUUUUUUUUUUUAAGGUAGACUUAAAUAAUUACUUUGCCAAAUUGCUCUGUGAGAAUAAGACGGUAUUGAAAUUAAUUUAUACUCUUAAGCUUUUAAAAUGUUGUUGAAUGUUAAAACGCUG